This 482-nucleotide ribosomal RNA is filed under the name uncultured bacterium. RNAcentral's name for it is "bacterial SSU rRNA". It matches the Rfam family "Bacterial small subunit ribosomal RNA", at positions 29 to 533 of the family's 1533-position model. The record is from RNAcentral.
AGCGAACGUUUGCGGCGGGCCUAACACAUGCAAGUCGAACGCACUAGCAAUAGUGAGUGGCGCACGGGUGCGUAACACGUGGGUAAUCAACCCUUCAGCCUGGGAUAACGACUCGAAAGGGUCGCUAAUACCGGAUACGGCGCGAGAGGCUUCGGCUUCUCACGAGAAAGCCACGCAAGGGGCACUGAAGGACGAGCCUGCGGCCCAUCAGCUAGUUGGUGAGGUAAGAGCUCACCAAGGCUAAGACGGGUAGCUGGUCUGAGAGGAUGAUCAGCCACACUGGAACUGAGACACGGUCCAGACCCCUACGGGAGGCAGCAGUGGGGAAUAUUGGACAAUGGGCGAAAGCCUGAUCCAGCAAUGCCGCGUGAGUGAUGAAGGCCUUAGGGUUGUAAAGCUCUUUUACCAGGGAUGAUAAUGACAGUACCUGGAGAAUAAGCUCCGGCUAACUCCGUGCCAGCAGCCGCGGUAAUGUACAGUGU